RNAcentral lists this ribosomal RNA (497 nucleotides) under uncultured bacterium. RNAcentral's name for it is "partial 16S ribosomal RNA". It matches the Rfam family "Bacterial small subunit ribosomal RNA", at positions 28 to 507 of the family's 1533-position model. The record is from RNAcentral.
GAUGAACGCUGGCGGCGUGCCUAAUACAUGCAAGUCGAGCGAACAGACGAGGAGCUUGCUCCUCUGACGUUAGCGGCGGACGGGUGAGUAACACGUGGAUAACCUACCUAUAAGACUGGGAUAACUUCGGGAAACCGGAGCUAAUACCGGAUAAUAUAUUGAACCGCAUGGUUCAAUAGUGAAAGACGGUUUUGCUGUCACUUAUAGAUGGAUCCGCGCCGCAUUAGCUAGUUGGUAAGGUAACGGCUUACCAAGGCAACGAUGCGUAGCCGACCUGAGGGGGUGAUCGGCCACACUGGAACUGAGCCACGGUCCAGACUCCUACGGGAGGCAGCAGUAGGGAAUCUUCCGCAAUGGGCGAAAGCUUGACGGAGCAACGCCGCGUGAGUGAUGAAGGUCUUCGGAUCGUAAAACUCUGUUAUUAGGGAAGAACAAAUGUGUAAGUAACUAUGCACGUCUUGACGGUACCUAAUCAGAAAGCCACGGCUAACUACGUG